RNAcentral lists this transfer RNA (69 nucleotides) under Semisulcospira libertina. Its description in RNAcentral is "tRNA-Gln". The record is from RNAcentral. RNAcentral also lists the same sequence under 1 other name. Lineage: Eukaryota; Metazoa; Mollusca; Gastropoda; Semisulcospiridae.
UUAAUAGCGGUGUUUGUGCACGAGGAAUUUUGAUUUCCUACGAGGGGGCCUAUAAACCCCCCUACUAAA